Molecule: ribosomal RNA, 130 nt
Filed under: Paenibacillus dendrobii
Lineage: Bacteria; Bacillati; Bacillota; Bacilli; Caryophanales; Paenibacillaceae
Description: partial 23S ribosomal RNA
Rfam family: Bacterial large subunit ribosomal RNA
Source: RNAcentral
CCCCUCAAGAUGAGAUUUCCCAGUAUGUAAGACCCCUUGAAGACGACGAGGUAGAUAGGUUGGAGGUGGAAGUGCAGCAAUGCAUGGAGCUGACCAAUACUAAUCGGUCGAGGGCUUAUCCUAAUAACUA